Molecule: small nuclear RNA, 107 nt
Organism: Nannospalax galili (Upper Galilee mountains blind mole rat)
Lineage: Eukaryota; Metazoa; Chordata; Mammalia; Rodentia; Spalacidae
Source: Ensembl
GUGCUUAGUUUGACAGCACAUAUACUAAAAUUGGAACGAUACGAAGAAGAUUAGCACGGCCUCUGUGCAAGGAUGACGUGCACAUUCGUGAAGCGUUCCAUAUAAGA